GUGAACGCUGGCGGUAGGCCUAACACAUGCAAGUCGAACGGCAGCACAGUAAGAGCUUGCUCUUACGGGUGGCGAGUGGCGGACGGGUGAGGAAUACAUCGGAAUCUACUUUUUCGUGGGGGACAACGUAGGGAAACUUACGCUAAUACCGCAUACGACCUACGGGUGAAAGCAGGGGAUCUUCGGACCUUGCGCGAUUGAAUGAGCCGAUGUCGGAUUAGCUAGUUGGCGGGGUAAAGGCCCACCAAGGCGACGAUCCGUAGCUGGUCUGAGAGGAUGAUCAGCCACACUGGAACUGAGACACGGUCCAGACUCCUACGGGAGGCAGCAGUGGGGAAUAUUGGACAAUGGGCGCAAGCCUGAUCCAGCCAUACCGCGUGGGUGAAGAAGGCCUUCGGGUUGUAAAGCCCUUUUGUUGGGAAAGAAAAGCAGCAGGUUAAUACCCCGCUGUUCUGACGGUACCCAAAGAAUAAGCACCGGCUAACUUCGUG
RNAcentral lists this ribosomal RNA (491 nucleotides) under uncultured bacterium. RNAcentral's name for it is "partial 16S ribosomal RNA". It matches the Rfam family "Bacterial small subunit ribosomal RNA", at positions 29 to 507 of the family's 1533-position model. The record is from RNAcentral.